CUUAGGUCUCCAGUGAGGCCUGAGAGUUUGCAUGUCUAACAAGCUCUAGCUGCUGGUUUGGAGACCAUACUUUUAGAACACUGGUCUACAGAUCUCCUGUCUUGUCCUUUCUAGUCUAGAAAUCAUGCUUGUUUGCUCAUGGGUUCUAAGUGACAGCCAAUCACCGCCUUCCUUUGCCUUAGUGGGGAAUGAAAGAGACAAAUUUCUCCCUAACUCUUUGGCCAAAACUCUUCCAGAGGCUAAUGACUUCUCAUUUCUCCUUCUCUGCUCAUUUGCAUCCUCUGUCACUGAGUACAGGUCUCAUCUCCUCUAAGCACUUGGUGGGAAGAGUUCAGCCUCAUCCCUCAUGGCAGCUCCAGUCAACACCCAACAGAGACCAACCAAAGCCAAGUUGCUGGAAAGGGACUCUGAGUGGCCAGUUUGGGUCAUGUGACUCCAUUGCCCACGGGAGCAGUCUCUCUGAGAAGAAACAGUGUCAGAGCAGGUGGAUAAGCAACAUUCCUGCCUCAGUCAUAGGCCCCAGUGUUCUCCACUGUCCGUCAGUAAGCCAGGCUUGCUUGUCCUGCACAUCUCACUGACACCAACAGUGGAAGUGCUGAUUUCUUCCUGCUGGCAGAAGCCCAGAUGCACCAGUGAUGCGAUGUACAGAAAUGAUUUUUCCAAUGACUGUGCCAAUGUAACUGCGGCCAAACCACCCCAGGGACCAACGGGAGCUGGUGAUGACUGUGCCAUGUUCGGGAGGUCACAUGAGGCCAGCAGAGGAUGGAAGAGACCAGCAAAAAGUAAGAUGCUAUACUAAGGUGUACAAAAAUUCUACUUCAUUGAAGAUACAAAGAUGCAUAAGAGAGAUCCCCUCUCCAAGGAACCUGAAGUCUAGAGGAGGAAACAGAUGGAUAACCCCUAGCAAUGCCACGUGGUCAGGAAGGAACUAAGCAGGAAGACCAUGUCCUGUCUUGUCCACUUAGCAGCUGUGUACCUGGAGGAGCUCUUACUCCUCAACAUUGUUGCAGGAGUCAAACAGACUCAGGUACGUAAAGCCCUAGAUUGGUAAACACACACAAAUGUCAGUCCUUCUGCUGAAUCACCU
This 1087-nucleotide long non-coding RNA is filed under the name Homo sapiens (human). RNAcentral describes it as "HSALNT0399865". Lineage: Eukaryota; Metazoa; Chordata; Mammalia; Primates; Hominidae. The record is from RNAcentral.